Molecule: ribosomal RNA, 496 nt
Filed under: uncultured bacterium
Lineage: Bacteria
Description: partial 16S ribosomal RNA
Rfam family: Bacterial small subunit ribosomal RNA
Source: RNAcentral
GAUGAACGCUGGCGGCGUGCCUAAUACAUGCAAGUCGAGCGAACAGACGAGGAGCUUGCUCCUUUGACGUUAGCGGCGGACGGGUGAGUAACACGUGGAUAACCUACCUAUAAGACUGGGAUAACUUCGGGAAACCGGAGCUAAUACCGGAUAACAUGUUGAACCGCAUGGUUCAACAGUGAAAGACGGUCUUGCUGUCACUUAUAGAUGGAUCCGCGCCGCAUUAGCUAGUUGGUAAGGUACGGCUUACCAAGGCAACGAUGCGUAGCCGACCUGAGAGGGUGAUCGGCCACACUGGAACUGAGACACGGUCCAGACUCCUACGGGAGGCAGCAGUAGGGAAUCUUCCGCAAUGGGCGAAAGCCUGACGGAGCAACGCCGCGUGAGUGAAGAAGGUCUUCGGAUCGUAAAACUCUGUUAUUAGGGAAGAACAAAUGUGUAAGUAACUAUGCACGUCUUGACGGUACCUAAUCAGAAAGCCACGGCUAACUACGUG